CGAGCACUCAGUAAGAAAGGAUAGCUUUUCUCCCUUUUCUGCUUCGCUCCCAACUAAGAAUGCAGAGUCAGGGAGAUGGCGCAGAGACAAUGCUGCUGUCCAUUGAAGCCCUCCAAAGGUCGGAGAUUCGAUCACAGGACAGCCUGGCCUGGACCAAGUCAGGUUGAUAUGGCUAGGCGGCCUGCUGGCGAGAUAGUGGGAGUGGGCGGUCCGCCCCUCAGGACCUCUGACUUGGACAGAUGACUGGAUGACUCUCUGGGGCAGCAUUCACCGGAACUCAUAUGGAGGGGACUGCCUGAGAAACCAACCUGUGUGCCUGGGUCAGGUUGAUAUGGCUAGGCGGCCUGCUGGCGAGAUAGUGGGAGUGGGCGGCCCGCCCCUCAGGACCUCUGACCUGGACAGAUGACUGGAUGACUCUCUGGGGCAGCAUUCACCGGAACUCAUAUGGAGAGGACUGCCUGAGAAACCAACCUGUGUGCCUGGGUCAGGUUGAUAUGGCUAGGCGGCCUGCUGGCGAGAUAGUGGGAGUGGGCGGUCCGCCCCUCAGGACCUCUGAUUUGGACAGAUGACUGGAUGACUCUCUGGGGCAGCAUUCACCGGAACUCAUAUGGAGGGGACUGCCUGAGAAACCAACCUGUGUGCCUGGGUCAGGUUGAUAUGGCUAGGCGGCCUGCUGGCGAGAUAGUGGGAGUGGGCGGUCCGCCCCUCAGGACCUCUGACUUGGACAGAUGACUGGAUGACUCUCUGGGGCAGCAUUCACCGGAACUCAUAUGGAGGGGGCUGCCUGAGAAACCAACCUGUGUGCCUGGGUUGAUAUGGCUAGGCGGCCUGCUGGCGAGAUAGUGGGAGUGGGCGGUCCGCCCCUCAGGACCUCUGACUUGGACAGAUGACUGGAUGACUCUCUGGGGCAGCAUUCACCGGAACUCAUAUGGAGGGGGCUGCCUGAGAAACCAACCUGUGUGCCUGGGUCAGGUUGAUAUGGCUAGGCGGCCUGCUGGCGAGAUAGUGGGAGUGGGCGGUCCGCCCCUCAGGACCUCUGACUUGGACAGAUGACUGGAUGACUCUCUGGGGCAGCAUUCACCGGAACUCAUAUGGAGGGGGCUGCCUGAGAAACCAACCUGUGUGCCUGGGUCAGGUUGAUAUGGCUAGGCGGCCUGCUGGCGAGAUAGUGGGAGUGGGCGGUCCGCCCCUCAGGACCUCUGACUUGGACAGAUGACUGGAUGACUCUCUGGGGCAGCAUUCACCGGAACUCAUAUGGAGGGGGCUGCCUGAGAAACCAACCUGUGUGCCUGGCCCACCACCUACCAGAGGUAUUGGAAAAGAACGGAUACGGAGGAAGUGGACCCAUUUAGAGUUUUCAGGUUUGAAAAAAGGAUGGAAAAGAACUCAAAUUCAGAGAAUCCCAUUUCUUCAGAUGCUUCUGUCAGGACUCCAUGUCAAUCUCAACUCCUUCAUUCUUGUCCUCAAGUGUUUCUGUCAGGCUGUUUGCACUCACAUCUUCAAGAGCUGCCAGAUCAAGAGAGGGCAGAGGGUUCCUCCAAUACUGGAAUGUAUUAUACUGCCAAAACUCUUCAGGCUGCUGGCUGUGCACCCGGUCGGCUACCUGCGGGCUUCCCGCGUUUUCUACUCUGUCGCCGCCGCCCGCAGCCCGGGGUUCCUCCUGCUCGCCAGGAGGCGGCUCUCCGGGCUCCCGGCUACAGCCCUGCAGCUCCUGUCUGUCGUCCCCGCCAUGAUCCCCGCGUCCCCCUGGCGCUUGAGGGGCCGAGCCGUCCCAGACGGCGGGACCCAGAGCGGCGGCUCCUCGGGGAAGUCGCUGAGCAGGAGCCGCUUCCAAGGCACGCGGAACGUGAGCGGCUCAGCCGCACGCCGCUUGGCCAUGGGCCAGGGACGAGGGUCGCACGGGUGUCGGCCGAGGGCGGAGGGCGAAGGGCAGCCAAGACAUCUUAUGCCAUCACAUUCUCUAAUGACUGAUUAAAAAUAUAAAUCAUUUG
Molecule: long non-coding RNA, 1991 nt
Filed under: Mus musculus (house mouse)
Lineage: Eukaryota; Metazoa; Chordata; Mammalia; Rodentia; Muridae
Description: Dxz4 macrosatellite
Source: RNAcentral